AAUCAACGCUGGCGGCGUGCCUCAGACAUGCAAGUCGAACGAUUAAAGCUCUCUUCGGAGAGUGCAUAGAGUGGCGCACGGGUGAGUAACACGUAAGUAAUCUACCCUCGAGUGGGGAAUAACGUCCGGAAACGGACGCUAAUACCGCAUAAUGCAGCGGCACCGCAAGGUGACAGUUGUUAAAGAUUUAUCGCUUGAGGAGGAGCUUGCGGCAGAUUAGCUAGUUGGUAAGGUAAUGGCUUACCAACGCUACGAUCUGUAACCGGUCUUAGAGGACGGUCGGUCACACUGACACUGAAUAACGGGUCAGACUCCUACGGGAGGCAGCAGUCGGGAAUUUUGGGCGAAUGGGCAAAGACCUGACCCAGCAACGCCGCGUGAAGGAUGAAGUAUUUCGGUAUGUAAACUUCGAAAGAAUAGGAAGAAUAAAUGACGGUACUAUUUAUAAGGUCC
RNAcentral lists this ribosomal RNA (453 nucleotides) under uncultured bacterium. Its description in RNAcentral is "bacterial SSU rRNA". It matches the Rfam family "Bacterial small subunit ribosomal RNA", at positions 32 to 494 of the family's 1533-position model. The record is from RNAcentral.